CUAAGACUGGGAUAACUCCGGGAAACCGGGGCUAAUACCGGAUAACAUUUUGAACCGCAUGGAUCGAAAUUGAAAGGCGGCUUCGUGUCACUUAUGGAUGACCCGCGUCGCAUUAGCUAGUUGGGAGGUAACGGCUCACCAAGGCAACGAUGCGUAGCCGACCUGAGAGGGGAUCGGCACACUGGGACUGAGACACCCAACUCCUACGGGGAGGCGCAGUAGGGAAUCUUCC
This 232-nucleotide ribosomal RNA is filed under the name Bacillus cereus. RNAcentral describes it as "partial 16S ribosomal RNA". It matches the Rfam family "Bacterial small subunit ribosomal RNA", at positions 132 to 367 of the family's 1533-position model. The record is from RNAcentral. Lineage: Bacteria; Bacillati; Bacillota; Bacilli; Caryophanales; Bacillaceae.